Molecule: transfer RNA, 67 nt
Filed under: Pteridomonas danica
Lineage: Eukaryota; Dictyochophyceae; Pedinellales
Source: RNAcentral
UGCGGCCGUCGAUCUCGCCGAUGACGUGCAUCACCUCGGACACAUUGGCCGCCGGGCGGCGCUUGUC